UUUAAUCUCCUUUCUUGCUUCUAAGUUUUACCGAGUAUUGUAAUUGGGUUAUUUCUGUAGGUCCUGCAUAAGUUGAUUGGUUUCCUUUCCUAGAAAUUUUGAUUGAUUGGUUUUUGACUGAAAAAUGCAUUGAACAUUCAUAUGAUCCUGAAGUUAUGAUAAUUGUUACUGAAUAGUCCACGUUAAGAUAUUUGUUUGAAACCUGAGUGGUAUUGAUAAACUCUUAAACUUUUCAACUAAGCCUGUAGUCCAGACCAUGAAUUUAGCCCAUAACUUGAAUGCAAUUGACUAGGGUCAGAUUUGACCAAACCAGGUGGAAACCAAGG
This 326-nucleotide long non-coding RNA is filed under the name Nicotiana benthamiana. Its description in RNAcentral is "long non-coding RNA (NBEN_LNC028156)". The record is from RNAcentral. Lineage: Eukaryota; Viridiplantae; Streptophyta; Magnoliopsida; Solanales; Solanaceae.